Molecule: ribosomal RNA, 253 nt
Filed under: uncultured bacterium
Lineage: Bacteria
Description: partial 16S ribosomal RNA
Rfam family: Bacterial small subunit ribosomal RNA
Source: RNAcentral
UACAGAGGUGGCAAGCGUUGUUCGGAAUUACUGGGCGUAAAGGGCGCGUAGGCGGUCCCGUCAGUCCCUUGUGAAAUCCCUCGGCUUAACCGGGGAACUGCGUCUGAUACUGGUUGGCUUGAGUUUGGGAGAGGGAUGCGGAAUUCCAGGUGUAGCGGUGAAAUGCGUAGAUAUCUGGAGGAAUACCGGUGGCGAAGGCGGCAUCCUGGACCGGCAUUGACGCUGAGGAGCGAAAGCCAGGGGAGCAAACGGG